This 403-nucleotide ribosomal RNA is filed under the name uncultured bacterium. RNAcentral's name for it is "bacterial SSU rRNA". It matches the Rfam family "Bacterial small subunit ribosomal RNA", at positions 356 to 773 of the family's 1533-position model. The record is from RNAcentral.
GGGGAAUAUUGCGCAAUGGGGGAAACCCUGACGCAGCAACGCCGCGUGAGGGAAGAAGGUCUUCGGAUUGUAAACCUUUGUCCUUGGUGACGAAACAAAUGACGGUAGCCAAGGAGGAAGCUCCGGCUAACUACGUGCCAGCAGCCGCGGUAAUACGUAGGGAGCAAGCGCUGUCCGGAUUUACUGGGUGUAAAGGGUGCGUAGGCGGCUCUGCAAGUCAGGCGUGAAAACUAUGGGCUUAACCCAUAGACUGCGUUUGAAACUGUGGGGCUUGAGUGAAGUAGAGGUAGGCGGAAUUCCCGGUGUAGCGGUGAAAUGCGUAGAGAUCGGGAGGAACACCAGUGGCGAAGGCGGCCUACUGGGCUUUAACUGACGCUGAAGCACGAAAGCAUGGGGAGCAAAC